UUUUUUUUUUUUUUUUUUUUUUGCUGGCAUAUUCGCCAGCAUAGAGUUAGUCAAGUAGGAAGUCAUGUAUGAUCCUAGAUCCUUUUGGCAAUUUUUGAGACUCUUCCUUUCACCUUUUAAGGAGGCAUGAUUAAUUCAGAGUGACAAACAAUCAAAGUGAACUGGUGAUGUUUAUUGAAAUCCUAAGCUGGGUCAGAAUGACCCUUGUCUAGUAGGAUGCAAGAUGGGUAAAUAAGAGCUUACUCACAACAUUUAGAGUGUGAAAAACAGUUGCUAUUCCCUGAUUUACUUGUGGUAUCACUGAUUGAAGCAGAAUGCUGGAUGCAAUGAUUCCUAAGUGGUUUUGAAUGCUUAUGGUUAGAGUAUUGGAUUAACUGGGCUCACUUUAUUGGACAAAUCUCCAUGUAAAUUAAAUAUAGGGAACAUGAUGUAAAUUAACUAGUUUCACUGAUCCAUGGUGCCAGAGUGAAUUCCGGUCCUCAUUUAGGAUGGGCUGACAUUCAUACCUUUGGUUAGAUGGAGGCUGGGAAGAGGGAGCAGAACACCAGAAGAAAUAUCUUCUUACAGUGAGGUUGGGGGGUGAAUAGGGGAAACCCCAGCUUUUCUUAUCAUGGGUCAGUAAAAUCAUUUUUGAAGGCAUCUGGUCAUUUCUUAUGCACUUGCAGCCAAUUUAGAGGAAAGUUGUAUUUUAUUUUGUUUAUUUUUUAUUUUAUUAUUUUUUUUUUGUCUUUUUGCCAUUUCUUGGGCUGCUCCCGCGGCUUAUGGAGUGUAGACCUGCAGCUGCAGCUCUGACUUGACCCCUGGCCCUGGAACUUCCGAUUGCCACAGGUAUGGCUGUAAAAAGAAAAAAUAAAUAAUAAUAAUAAUAAUAAUAAUAAUAAUAAUAACUUUAACAAUUCUCUGUGGAUCGAUAUCCUAGUCAGAAUACAACUUUGAGUUCACAGAUAUCCUUGUCUCCAUUGCAAUGUUGCACCAUGUUUCCUCCCUUCUGCACCAAAGGAACUUGAGAUUAACUGAGACUCCAGAGCCAUGCCCACUGGUGAGAAACAGACUUCAGGGCUUUUCAUGUGACUACUACCAUUACCUCUACUGCCAGUAAGAUCCUUUACUGUUCUGACUAGCUUCCCUGACUAGUACUUAACUUUUUUCCCUUCCCAUUAGCUCUCAUCAAGCUGUACUGUAGACCUGAUAUCCUGCCAAAGACUUGUGCAUCCCCUUCCUAUGAAAGGGCUCUGCACUUGUGCCUCCUGCACUCACUUGGCAGGGAAUCCUGCUGGCCAAGAACAGUUACCCUUGAACUAUACUUGCCACCUGCCAGAAUCACAGUAUUCAACACCAUGUUUUUCUGAGGCUGCACCUGCAAGUCUGGAUAACCAGGUCAGUACCAAGUGUUUCUGACACUAUCUAAGUGUCUCUUUUAGGCAUUGGGUAUUUAUGGGUAAUCAGUUUUACCCCAUGCAAGUCUUCAGCCUUUUUCCCACCACAUGAGGACCCAGCACUCUUUUUGCCUCGCGGAGUCUUAGCGAUUAUUGUAGCUAUGCACAUACAACAAGACUCUUC
This 1560-nucleotide long non-coding RNA is filed under the name Sus scrofa (pig). RNAcentral describes it as "lncRNA (ENSSSCG00040061486.1)". Lineage: Eukaryota; Metazoa; Chordata; Mammalia; Artiodactyla; Suidae. The record is from RNAcentral.